Molecule: unclassified non-coding RNA, 536 nt
Filed under: Hevea brasiliensis (rubber tree)
Lineage: Eukaryota; Viridiplantae; Streptophyta; Magnoliopsida; Malpighiales; Euphorbiaceae
Source: RNAcentral
GAGUAAUCUUUGUGGUCGCCCCCUUCGACUACAUGAGAUAGAGAGGUCAUUGAAUUUAUCUUCUCCUUCACUAUUUCUUUGCCCUCGUGUCCCUAGAGGAACACAACUCUUUAUUCUAAUGGACGGUCUAUUUUAGUGGUGUAUAGAAUCUCUAGGGCCACAAUGCCUACUAUUUUGCAAUGGCUAACCCUUAGGGUGAGAGACACCAUGACCUCUGCAUGCACACCUCUCUUUGGUUGCUAGUGUAUAUCUGUGUAGUUUAACGGUGGUUUAAGCUCUCAAAGGAAGCUUGGCUUGGUUUUGGCCUUCCUAUUGCUCUUCUUAUCCUUUGUUUUGUGUAAGCCUUUUAUGGUGCCGUACACUAAAAUGGUGCUGUUACCUAUGGAGAAGCAAAGGCUGCGCUGUUGGCAACAAGCUAAUCUUUUAUUCCUUAGCUAGGGUUUUUCUAUGUUGGGCUUUUGGGCUGUUGUUUUGAGCUUUGGGCCUGGGCCUCCAAUUGGAAUUUUUCUUUUUUUGUUUAUCUAUGUUACUCUUUU